AGCUCCGGGCAGCGACCCGCGAUGCGGCAUCCUUCCGUCCGGUCGGAGCCCUCCUAGCCCUCAGCGCGUCUAUUCCUAGCUUCGGUCCCCGCAGCCAUAUAAGCAAUGACACCCUCGCCGACUCGCCUGCCAGCUUGGCCGCCUCCCUGCAGAGGGCUGACGCUUCUCCAGAAGUUGUAAGAAAAGGAGGGAAAGCAGGCCAACCUCGAGGAUCUCCCCAGCCUUGGCGUUCAGGUGCUGAGGAGAUCGUCGAGAUAUAAGCUCCAUGAGAACAGCCACCUUGUUUACCUUGUUCAUGGAUACAGAACAGUGCCUGGUGCUCAAUAAAUGAACAGUGAGUGAAUAAGUGAGUGUUGAGUCAUCUAAGUGAGCUUAGAUGAACUGACAAUGAGACUGUGCACAAUGAAGAGAAAGGAGGACUCUUGAGGAAUUCCACCAGCUUGAAGAUGGCUGAAGAAAGAUGACAGAAAGCAAUCAGAGGGAUGGAGGGCAAACUAAGAAAGCAGAGUCAAGAGUAGGAAGAUUGGGAAGUGGUAGACAACAUUAGGAAAUACUGCAGAAAAACCUAAAAGGAUGAGAAUUAGGAAAGACACUAUUGAAUUUGGUCUUUGGGGCUGAAAAAAAAGGCAGCUGCAGAAAAGAAAUUGGAGUGGAACCCCAUUUGCACAGAAAUUAUGGAGUAAUUAGGACACCAGGCAGAAAGUUUGGCAAUGAAUGGAAGGAGAGAUGACAGCCUUGGGCAUUCGCUCGCAGAACGCAAGGACAUUCAUUCUUAAUUCAGUAGAAAAGUGUCGUGUUGUUACUGUCUCAAGUGGAAGCGCCCUCUCACUCCUUCAUUGUCCUAAGAGAACAAAAGGGGCCUUGAAUUUCAUGACUGCCCCAGUGAUGCUUCUGAGAGCUUGAGCUUUGGAAUCAGACUGCCCACAUUCAAACCCCAGUUCUUCCUAUUGCUGGCUGUGUGAUUUGGGGAAAAUUACUUGAUUCCCUAAGUUUUCUCAUCUGUGAAAUGGGGAUUCACUCAGUUAGUGAAUAUUAUUCAGCUCCUACCAUGUGCAGACACUGUUCUAGUGGGGGAUUCAGCAUACCAGCAGUAAAUGGAUCUCUGUACAAUGCCAAAAACAUGAAGCCAACUAUUCAUAGUAUUUUUAAGUGAUAUCCUGGUGCUGCUUCCAGGAAGAUGGAGUAGAUAUACUUUUCCCUAUUGCUCCCACUAAGUACAACUAAAACCCUGGACAUUAUGUAUAAACAUGCAUAAGAAGAUGCUGAAAGGUGGUAAGAAAGCAGACUGGCCAGGGACUUUGCGAUCCAAGGAACAACCUGGUGAUGAGUUUCCUGUACCCCAGACUUGGGAUAAAGGAGCUGGCAACCCAGAAAUGCCAACGGGAGCAAAUAAAAAAUCCCCAACAAAAGCCUGUUUCUCUAGACAAAGGACUAGGACAGGGGCAGCCUAACAAAACAGAAAACUCUUAGUAACAACUUACUCCAGCUAAAUAGCACAGAAAAACCUAUGGUCCACUCCCACCCACACCACCCAAGGGUGUGGGAGUCCAGGCUAUCACAAGGGGCCUCGCCUCCACUGGUGUGGUAUCGCAAAAGCCACAGGGAGCUGGUUCUUUCAUCCCCAUCUGACAAAAGGCUCCCACCCCCAUGGUGUCAGCGGAGACCACACUGGGAGCCUGAACUUCCACCCACUCACAGCUGUAACAAGGCAGUCCCUCCACCUCCCUGCUGGGGUGGUGUCAGAGGAGGCCAAGUGGAGAGUCAGGACUUUCACCAUAGCCCAGUGACAAUGAAGCCACCUCCCUAUGGUGUCAGUGGAGGCCAUAAGGAACAGUAACGAGGUCUAGUGGGAAUCCAGAACUGCCACCCUGCCCAGCAGUAACCAGGAGCCCCUCCCCUCCGUGUGGACAGAGGCCAAGUGCUGAAGCUGGACUUUGCUCCCCCUAGCCCUGCUAGGUGGCUAUUAGAACAGCCAGCUAAAACUGGUUUCACCAAGACAGAUUUAGGAAGACAGUGCCCCGGGCAGGAAAAUGAAGGCACGGAGAGGUUAAAUAUAAUAACUUGCUAGUGGUCAAUCAGUAGGCAGUAGAGGAGCCAGCAUAUAAACCCAAGCUGCCCAGCUGCAGAACCACAUUCUUGUCCCAUAUGCUAUGCCUCUCAAAAAAGGAGGCCCUCUCCUUGGGACACAAAGGUAAUAAAAAUGCCUGCCCUGAGCUGUGUCUCUGUCUAGGUACACAGUUCAUGAGUGAAGGAGCUCCUGGAGUCAUGAAUAAUGGAAGUCCAGAUUGGUCAAGUAACUUGUCCCAGCCCCAGCCCAUGCAUCUGGUAUGUGGUUGGACAGGUUUCUAACUCAUUACGUAACAUCAAGAACAUUUUAAACUGCUUUGAGACAUUUGUGAAUUAAGAUCUCAAUAAAUAGUCCUCCCUGGCACCAGCUCCAUCCACAUUAAAUGAGACUUGAAAAUUUCUUUGAAUGGAUAUUAGUUUAGAAGGAGCUAAGUUAUUAGUUGGCCUCACAUUCCUCAGUUGGGCCCUGGGCCCAGCAUGCCACUUCUCCUGGUUAUUAUGGUUCACAUCUGAGGUAACCCAUCGGGAAACUGGAUGGGACAACAAACUAAAAAUGUUUUAGUUUGGACCUGUCCAAAACCAAGAGAAUAAAAACAAAAUGGAUAGUCAAGAUGA
RNAcentral lists this long non-coding RNA (2682 nucleotides) under Homo sapiens (human). RNAcentral describes it as "MIR3150B host gene (MIR3150BHG)". The record is from RNAcentral. Lineage: Eukaryota; Metazoa; Chordata; Mammalia; Primates; Hominidae.